AAGAAAAAUGGCAACUUUCUGAUUUCUCUGCCCUCUCCCAAGAUGGCUUCCUGAACGAUCUUGGGCCUUGGACUGGAGCCUCUUCCGGGCUUGGCAGGGGCGGGGUUCAUUGAGCAAAGCCUUGCGUGCUAGCGCCCGCGACGGAGACGCGCCUCAGGGCGCAGGCGCGGAGAGGAGGUGGGGGAGGAGGGAAAGCGGCGAGUAAGAUGGAAGAUGAGGAGGUCGCUGAGAGCUGGGAGGAGGCGGCAGACAGCGGGGAUUGAGAAAGGAAUGUUAUCUACUAAGGAGGUGCGUAGCCGACACCAGAAGAAAAGUGGAUCUUUACCGUCGAGCAGAAUCCGCCUGCCAAUGCAGGGGAAACGGGUUCGAGCCCUGGUCCGGGAAGAUCCCACAUGCCGUGGAGCAACUAAGCCCGUAUGCCACAACGACUGAGCCUGUGCUCUAGAGCCCGUGAGCCACAACUAGUGAGUCCGCGUGCUGCAACUACUGAAGCCCGUGUGCCUAGAGCCCGUGCUCUGCAACAAGAGAAGCCACUGCAGUGAGAAGCCUGCACACUGCAAUGAAGAGUAUCCCCUGCUCGCCGCAACCAGAGGAAACCCGUGUGCAGCAACGAAGACCCAACGCAGCCAAGUGAAGAUUUGGAAUUUACCAGUGAUUUUGGCCAAUGACUGCAUAUCUUUGGCAACUUCGACAAGAACAGUUUUAGUGGGACAGUGGGGCUUAGAGAGCUGGAUUGAAGUGAGGUGGUGAAUGUUACCCAGAGCAGGGCCUGAGCCAGACAUUGGGCGCUGGAUGAGUGCUAGUUGCUGUUAUGCCAACAUGACAAAUAGGACCCAGCAGAGUAGGUCUUGCACCUCAAUACACACCAUGCCUCUUGGGUCCUUAAGGCACUCAGUUACUAGUUGCCGACAGAUGAUAUGUACAGCAGAGGCACAUCUUAUUCUAAGGUUAGAUCUAAAGCAGUGUUGUCCAACAGAAGUAUCAUGCAAGCCACAUAGGUAAUGUAAAAU
Long non-coding RNA from Physeter macrocephalus (sperm whale), 1010 nucleotides. RefSeq lists it as uncharacterized. The transcript has 3 exons. Lineage: Eukaryota; Metazoa; Chordata; Mammalia; Artiodactyla; Physeteridae. The record is from RefSeq and is a predicted model, not a curated record.